RNAcentral lists this unclassified non-coding RNA (332 nucleotides) under soil metagenome. RNAcentral describes it as "partial contains 5.8S ribosomal RNA, internal transcribed spacer 2, and large subunit ribosomal RNA". The stretch from base 1 to 120 matches the Rfam family "5.8S ribosomal RNA", at positions 35 to 154 of the family's 154-position model. The record is from RNAcentral.
GAUGAAGAACGUAGCAAAAUGCGAUAAGUAAUGUGAAUUGCAGAAUUCAGUGAAUCAUCGAAUCUUUGAACGCACAUUGCGCCCGCCAGUGUUCUGGCGGGCAUGCCUGUUCGAGCGUCAUUUCAACCCUCAAGCACAGCUUGGUGUUGGGACUCGCGUUAAUUCGCGUUCCCCAAAUUGAUUGGCGGUCACGUCGAGCUUCCAUAGCGUAGUAGUAAAACCCUCGUUACUGGUAAUCGUCGCGGCCACGCCGUUAAACCCCAACUUCUGAAUGUUGACCUCGGAUCAGGUAGGAAUACCCGCUGAACUUAAGCAUAUCAAUAAGCGGAGGA